RNAcentral lists this ribosomal RNA (250 nucleotides) under uncultured bacterium. RNAcentral's name for it is "partial 16S ribosomal RNA". It matches the Rfam family "Bacterial small subunit ribosomal RNA", at positions 355 to 597 of the family's 1533-position model. The record is from RNAcentral.
GGGGGAAUAUUGGACAAUGGGCGAAAGCCUGAUCCAGCCAUGCCGCGUGUGUGAAGAAGGUCUUCGGAUUGUAAAGCACUUUAAGUUGGGAGGAAGGGCUCAAGGCUAAUACCCGUGAGUUUUGACGUUACCGACAGAAUAAGCACCGGCUAACUCUGUGCCAGCAGCCGCGGUAAUACAGAGGGUGCAAGCGUUAAUCGGAAUUACUGGGCGUAAAGCGCGCGUAGGCGGUUUGGUAAGUUGAAUGUGA